Molecule: ribosomal RNA, 309 nt
Filed under: uncultured eukaryote
Lineage: Eukaryota
Description: partial 18S ribosomal RNA
Rfam family: Eukaryotic small subunit ribosomal RNA
Source: RNAcentral
CCCUUAGAUGUUCUGGGCGGCCCGCGCACUACACUGGCACUCUCAAUCAGAGCCUGGAUCUAACACUUUGGGGUAUUCUAUGAAGUGGUGUCGUGACUGGGAUUAACCCUUGCAAUUAUUGGUUACGAACGAGGAAUUCCUUGUAAUCGCGGUUUAUCAGCCCGCGUUGAAUGCGUCCCUGCCCUUUGUACACACCGCCCGUCGCUCCUACCGAUGGAUCGUCCGGUGAAGCUCAUGGAGAGGCGGUUGUCUCAGCUGCCGUCGAAGUGAAAUGGACCUCACGAUCUAGAGGAAGGAGAAGUCGUAACA